UCAAGUUAUUAAGGGUGCAGGGCGGAUGCCUUGGCACUAGGAGCCGAUGAAGGACGUGAUAAGCUGCGAUAAGCUUCGGGGAGUUGCACGUAAACUUUGAUCCGAAGAUUUCCGAAUGAGGAAACUCACUUAGAGUAAUGUCUAAGUAUCAUUAAGUGAAUACAUAGCUUAAUGAGGGGAACUCAGGGAACUGAAACAUCUAAGUACCUGAAGGAAGAGAAAGAAAUUCGAUUCCGUAAGUAGCGGCGAGCGAACGCGGAUUAGCCCAAACCAAUAAAGUUUUCUUUAUUGGGGUUGCGGACAUAUCAUAACGAAGAGGUAUCGUAAUUGAAGAGGUUUGGAAAGACCCACCACAGAAGGUAAUAGUCCUGUAUGUUAAACGAAAAGACUUUAGAUAUGAUCCAGAGUACCACGGGACACGUGAAACCCUGUGGGAAGCAGGAGGGACCACCCUCCAAGGCUAAAUACUACCUAGUGACCGAUAGCGUAUAGUACCGUGAGGGAAAGGUGAAAAGAACCCCGGGAGGGGAGUGAAAUAGAACCUGAAACCCUGCACUUACAAGCUGUGGAAGCACAUUUCUUGUGUGACCGCGUACUUUUUGUAGAACGGGCCAACGAGUUACGUUAAGUAGCAAGGUUAAGCACUUAAGGUGCGGAGCCGUAGCGAAAGCGAGUUUUAACUGAGCGUUCAGUUACUUGACGUAGACCCGAAACCGGGCGACCUACCCAUGAGCAGGAUGAAGCGAAAGUAAAAUUUCGUGGAGGUCCGAACCCACGAGCGUUGAAAAGCUCGGGGAUGACUUGUGGGUAGCGGUGAAAUUCCAAUCGAGCCCGGAGAUAGCUGGUUCUCCCCGAAAUAGCUUUAGGGCUAGCCUCAAGGUGAGAGAUACGGAGGUAGAGCACUGAAUGUCCUAGGGGGUAUUGCACCUACCGAAGACUAUCAAACUCCGAAUGCCGUCAUCUUAUACUUGGGAGUCAGACUGUGGGUGAUAAGAUUCAUAGUCGAAAGGGCAACAGCCCAGAUCGUCAGCUAAGGUCCCUAAAUGUAAGUUAAGUGGUAAAGGAUGUGGGAUUGCACAGACAACCAGGAUGUUGGCUUAGAAGCAGCCACUCAUUCAAAGAGUGCGUAAUAGCUCACUGGUCGAGUGAUCCUGCGCCGAAGAUUUCCGGGGCUAAAACUUACUACCGAAGCUACGGCAUCAGUAAUGAUGGGUAGGGGAGCUUCCCAUACGGGUUGAAGCAUGACCGUAAGGACAUGUGGACAGUAUGGGAGUGAGAAUGUUGGCAUGAGUAGCGAGAUGUGGGUGAGAAUCCCACAGGCCGUAAACCCAAGGUUUCCAGGGGAAGGUUCGUCCGCCCUGGGUUAGUCGGGACCUAAGCUGAGGCCGAAAGGCGUAGGUGAUGGACAACAGGUUGAUAUUCCUGUACUACCGAUAACCGUUUGAGAGAAGGGAUGACACAGUAGGAUAAGCUAAGCACACUGUUGGUUAUGUGUGCCCAAGCAUUGAGGCAGUCAAAGUAGGCAAAUCCGCUUUGAUAAUGCUGGGAUGUGAUGGGGAGCGAAAUUUAGUAGCGAAGUAGCUGAUUUCACACUGUCAAGAAAAGUCUCUAUCGAGGUUAAAGGUACCCGUACCGCAAACCGACACAGGUGGGUGAGGAGAGUAUCCUAAGGCCAGCGAGAGAACUGUUGUUAAGGAACUCGGCAAAAUGACCCCGUAACUUAGGGAUAAGGGGUGCCACCAUCAGGUGGCCGCAGAGAAUAGGCCCAAGCGACUGUUUACCAAAAACAUAGGUUUCUGCUAAGUCGCAAGACGAUGUAUAGGAGCUGACGCCUGCCCGGUGCUGGAAGGUUAAGGGGAUCUGUUAGAGCAAUCGAAGCAGUGAACUUAAGCCCCAGUAAACGGCGGCCGUAACUAUAACGGUCCUAAGGUAGCGAAAUUCCUUGUCGGGUAAGUUCCGACCCGCACGAAAGGCGUAACGAUUUGGGCACUGUCUCAACAACAGACUCGGUGAAAUUGUAAUUCCGGUGAAGAUGCCGGAUACCUGCGACAGGACGGAAAGACCCCAUGGAGCUUUACUGUAGCUUGACAUUGGGUCUUGGUACUACAUGUACAGGAUAGGUGGGAGGCUUUGAAACCAGGACGCCAGUUUUGGCGGAGCCAUCCUUGGGAUACCACCCUUGUAGUACUGGGACUCUAACCAUAGGCCAUGAAUCUGGUCUUGGGACACUGUCAGGUGGGCAGUUUGACUGGGGCGGUCGCCUCCCAAAAGGUAACGGAGGCGCUCAAAGGUUCUCUCAGUACGGUCGGAAAUCGUACGUAGAGUGUAAAGGCAAAAGAGAGCUUGAUUGCAAGACAUACAGGUCGAGCAAGGAUGAAAAUCGGACUUAGUGAUCCGGUGGUUCUGCGUGGAAGGGCCAUCGCUCAACGGAUAAAAGCUACCCUGGGGAUAACAGGCUUAUCUCCCCCAAGAGUCCACAUCGACGGGGAGGUUUGGCACCUCGAUGUCGGCUCAUCACAUCCUGGGGCUGUAGUAGGUCCCAAGGGUUGGGCUGUUCGCCCAUUAAAGUGGUACGCGAGCUGGGUUCAGAACGUCGUGAGACAGUUCGGUCCCUAUCCGUCGCAGGCGUAGGAAAUUUGAGAAGACCUGUCCUUAGUACGAGAGGACCGGGAUGGACGUACCUCUGGUGUACCAGUUGUUCUGCCAAGGGCAUGGCUGGGUAGCUAUGUACGGAAUGGAUAAGCGCUGAAAGCAUCUAAGCGCGAAGCCAACUUCAAGAUAAGAUUUCCCACCGCAAGGGUAAGACCCCAGAAAGACUAUCUGGUUGAUAGGUCGAAGGUGUAAGUGCAGCAAUGUAUUUAGCUUAUCGAUACUAAUAGGUCGAGGACUUGACCAA
Molecule: ribosomal RNA, 2896 nt
Filed under: Clostridioides difficile
Lineage: Bacteria; Bacillati; Bacillota; Clostridia; Peptostreptococcales; Peptostreptococcaceae
Description: bacterial LSU rRNA
Rfam family: Bacterial large subunit ribosomal RNA
Source: RNAcentral